UACUCGAUAGGAUUCAAAUAUCAAUCCCCAUGGGUUUGACACUCUUACUUUAAAAAUAUAUUACAAAACUUUACACCGCACACUUGUAGUGUAAAAUCACGUUGCAUAAAUCGCAUGGCAAUUAGCAGAAGGCAUCAAAAUUGAGGAGCAUUCAACUAAAUUAGCAGAUCUCCUACAUACAUCACACGUGGACCAUGUGAAGUGAAUAAAAAUAAGCUCAACCAUUACGAAGAAUGGAUGUUGUUCCAUCUCCUAUCGCAUCAUUUUGAGCUGGACUUGGCUCAAUCAUUGACUGAAUCUCCAAAAGCAUACAUGUUAAAGAGCAAUAAAAAAAUAACAUUCCAGUGUUAGAAUUAGACAGAAAGAACAAUAUGAAUCAAUUGCAAGUAGAGGUUAAUAGUAUGUAAACCACUUAAAAUAUAUGUAUAUUUAUUUGAAACUUGCAACUCUGAUUGACUUAUAAUAAUAACCAUGGACAACUCUACUAAUAUAUACACAUCUAUUGAGGGCUUGAGAAAAGGUUUAUGAUGUGACUAAAGGCAUCCGUUUUGAAGAUCCUAAACAACACGUAUGAUUUGUUUCUAAAAUCGUUGAUUUUGAUACAGGUUGAAUGAGUAUGGAAAUGUGAUUCUUAAUGGUCAAGUUUUGAACAUUAGGUCAAUAACUGGCAUAUAGAACUACUCUUUAGAUUUACUUCUAGCAUAUAGAACUUAAUCUGCGAAUUUGUGGUGAAAUAUUUGCUAGGUUAGGAAUUCUAGGAGUGUUUCCCAUAACAUUCUCAAAAAUAGUAUGGAGUAAGAGAAACUUUACAUCUACUUCCAUGCCUAUCAACAGAUGUUCAACAUUUAAUCCUUCAGAAGCUUUAAAAAUGCGAGAGGAACCUACAACCUGAAGAGCUCAGUUAAAAUGUUCAUAGUCUCUUCUUCGCAUUUUGAGAAUUCAACCCUCUAGAUCCCAAAAAAGGGACGGGUGAUGACAUAUUAUUCAUGUCAACCUUAUCAUCAUUAAUUUCAAGAAUCAAAAAUUUCUGAAGCAAGACAAAUUUGAAAGAUGGAGAAUACGAUUUCUCUUUGAAACAACUACGAAUUAAAGCAAAAGAUAUAGAUCUAACACCAUGAAUAUCUCUACAGAACAAACCCAUGUAUAAAAUUAAAAGCUAAUAUCAUCACAACUGCAUAAGACAUUUCAAUCAAGUCAAUCAAAACCAAAAUCCAAUAACAAAUGAGUUUUUCUUUCAUUAAAUCACAAGAUUUCUUAGAAAAAUUAGAGCUUUUUAGUCAUUAGAGUUGUACCUUGAGCUGGGAUAGGAGUUCAUUAAGGAAACGAGGGGUCGCAGUUCCGGUUUGAGUUGGAGGUAAAGAAGGCGGCGUUGAGUCUAGCAGAGACGGAGGAGAAAACUGAGAAAUGAAACAAGAUUUUCCAUUUUAUUAUUUAGAGGAAAAAAAAUGAAAAAAAAAAAUUACUCCGUGCGCGCACGGAGCUUUAGCUCCAAAAU
Molecule: long non-coding RNA, 1495 nt
Filed under: Olea europaea subsp. europaea
Lineage: Eukaryota; Viridiplantae; Streptophyta; Magnoliopsida; Lamiales; Oleaceae
Source: RNAcentral